Long non-coding RNA from Ceratina calcarata, 1101 nucleotides. RefSeq lists it as uncharacterized. The record is from RefSeq and is a predicted model, not a curated record. NCBI's taxonomy places the organism in Eukaryota, Metazoa, Arthropoda, Insecta, Hymenoptera, Apidae. The transcript has 2 exons.
UCCGAAGAACGAGCACGAGCCACGACGAUAUCGGAGGCAAAAGGAUGGACGAGAGAACGAUUUCUCCAGUUCGAUUGGAACGAUGAAGCGCCGGAGCACGCGCAGUGCCGACUUUCUUGAUAGCCCACAACUUGGCCUCUGAACAUCUUUACUCGGAAUGCAUCGACGGUUAGAAGAAUUUGUACAUCCCCCCGUUCUAAAUCGACGAUCAUACUCUGUUCGGUCAGCCCGACAGGGAGGCUCGUCGUUGUGGACACAGGUGAAACCGAAUGUGAAAGAGAAUGUUGUUAUCUCUGUUUUCAAGUUCGUAUCUGAGGUUUUUAAAAUAUCGAUCGUGCGACGUCAAAAAUAGAAGGCAACGGGCAAUAGCGGAGUGGCAAGAUACGAGGAGAACAAAGAAUUCUCACGCUAACGUCUAAAUAUUGUAGUGGAACUUCUAAAACGGAUUAAUUGCCAGUCGGCAGUUAAUUCGAUGCAUGAAAGUGGUCUGAGUAAGAUCUCAUAAAAGGAGGUCGAGGUAAAAAUUUAAGGAGAAUACUGAACGGUACGUCGUUAAGGAUACGUGCGAUCGUCGAUCGCUUUCAACCGAUUGAAAUUAACGUAUCAACGAACCUUCGUCGAACUAAAAUCCGAAUAAAACCGACGCAGCGAGCGUGUCUAAACGGAAUACGGAAAGUUCCCUCAUCGGACAGCGAGAUCUCGUUCGAUUUAUCAGCCUUCGCCGAGAUAUACAAUCGUAUGGAAAAUGUAUAUAGCUCAUUCGGUGAUUUUUCUAGUCAAUGAGAACCUUUCACCCGAUUGGUGAGCGCUCAAGGUUGUCACUGACGCCGAAAGUCUUGAGAUACCGUAUUUUUUCCACACGCACGACGCGUGCUCUUGUGAAACGGCGCUUAAAAGACAGCCGAACCGUGCACUCGGUUCUCACCGUAUGUACUGUACGGCCGUGACCUCCCCAAGAAUUUCAAUGACACUCCCCUCCGACACAAAUAUGUUCCAUAUCGCAUCGAACACGUCUGUUUUCCAGAAUCUAACAUCGGGAAUUGCAACGGUCUGUGAAGAAUAGAACCGUGGACAAAUAAAGAAAUGCUGACACACCCAUUA